GAUGAACGCUGGCGGCGUGCCUAAUACAUGCAAGUCGAGCGAACAGAUGAGGAGCUUGCUCCUCUGACGUUAGCGGCGGACGGGUGAGUAACACGUGGAUAACCUACCUAUAAGACUGGGAUAACUUCGGGAAACCGGAGCUAAUACCGGAUAAUAUAUUGAACCGCAUGGUUCAAUAGUGAAAGACGGUUUUGCUGUCACUUAUAGAUGGAUCCGCGCCGCAUUAGCUAGUUGGUAAGGUAACGGCUUACCAAGGCAACGAUGCGUAGCCGACCUGAGAGGCUGAUCGGCCACACUGGAACUGAGACACGGUCCAGACUCCUACGGGAGGCAGCAGUAGGGAAUCUUCCGCAAUGGGCGAAAGCCUGACGGAGCAACGCCGCGUGAGUGAUGAAGGUCUUCGGAUCGUAAAACUCUGUUAUUGGGGAAGAACAAAUGUGUAAGUAACUAUGCACGUCUUGACGGUACCUAAUCAGAAAGCCACGGCUAACUACGUG
This 497-nucleotide ribosomal RNA is filed under the name uncultured bacterium. RNAcentral's name for it is "partial 16S ribosomal RNA". It matches the Rfam family "Bacterial small subunit ribosomal RNA", at positions 28 to 507 of the family's 1533-position model. The record is from RNAcentral.